RNAcentral lists this transfer RNA (59 nucleotides) under Dixonius melanostictus. Its description in RNAcentral is "tRNA-Tyr". Lineage: Eukaryota; Metazoa; Chordata; Lepidosauria; Squamata; Gekkonidae. The record is from RNAcentral.
UGAUAGUGAGAGCUAUCUCUGUUUCCGGGGCUACAACCCGGCACCUAUCUCGGCCACAC